AGUGAACGCUGGCGGUAGGCCUAACACAUGCAAGUCGAACGGCAGCACAGUAAGAGCUUGCUCUUACGGGUGGCGAGUGGCGGACGGUUGAGGAAUACAUCGGAAUCUACUUUUUCGUGGGGGAUAACGUAGGGAAACUUACGCUAAUACCGCAUACGACCUACGGGUGAGAGCAGGGGAUCUUCGGACCUUGCGCGAUUGAAUGAGCCGAUGUCGGAUUAGCUAGUUGGCGGGGUAAAGGCCCACCAAGGCGACGAUCCGUAGCUGGUCUGAGAGGAUGAUCAGCCACACUGGAACUGAGACACGGUCCAGACUCCUACGGGAGGCAGCAGUGGGGAAUAUUGGACAAAGGGCGCAAGCCUGAUCCAGCCAUACCGCGUGGGUGAAGAAGGCCUUCGGGUUGUAAAGCCCUUUUGUUGGGAAAGAAAAGCAGCAGGUUAAUACCCCGCUGUUCUGACGGUACCCAAAGAAUAAGCACCGGCUAACUUCGUG
Molecule: ribosomal RNA, 492 nt
Filed under: uncultured bacterium
Lineage: Bacteria
Description: partial 16S ribosomal RNA
Rfam family: Bacterial small subunit ribosomal RNA
Source: RNAcentral